This 339-nucleotide ribosomal RNA is filed under the name Nematoda environmental sample. RNAcentral's name for it is "bacterial SSU rRNA". It matches the Rfam family "Eukaryotic small subunit ribosomal RNA", at positions 1300 to 1665 of the family's 1831-position model. The record is from RNAcentral. Lineage: Eukaryota; Metazoa; Nematoda.
GGUGGAGCGAUUUGUCUGGUUAAUUCCGAUAACGAACGAGACUCUGGCCUAUUAAAUAGACGAUAUAUUUAAAAGUAUAUCGCGCUUCUUAGAGGGACAAGCGGCGUCUAGCCGCAUGAAAUAGAGCAAUAACAGGUCUGUGGUGCCCUUAGAUGUCCGGGGCUGCACGCGUGCUACACUGGAAGAAUCAGCGUGUUUUUCCUUCCCCGAAAGGGGCGGGUAAACCAUUGAAAAUUUGCCGUGAUUGGGAUCGGAAAUUGCAAUUAUUUUCCGUGAACGAGGAAUUCCAAGUAAGUGCGAGUCAUGAGCUCGCGUUGAUUACGUCCCUGCCCUUUGUAC